This 460-nucleotide ribosomal RNA is filed under the name uncultured bacterium. Its description in RNAcentral is "partial 16S ribosomal RNA". It matches the Rfam family "Bacterial small subunit ribosomal RNA", at positions 338 to 795 of the family's 1533-position model. The record is from RNAcentral.
CCUACGGGAGGCUGCAGUGAGGAAUAUUGGUCAAUGGACGAGAGUCUGAACCAGCCAAGUAGCGUGAAGGAUGACUGCCCUAUGGGUUGUAAACUUCUUUUAUAUGGGAAUAAAACGUUCCACGUGUGGGAUUUUGUAUGUACCAUAUGAAUAAGGAUCGGCUAACUCCGUGCCAGCAGCCGCGGUAAUACGGAGGAUCCGAGCGUUAUCCGGAUUUAUUGGGUUUAAAGGGAGCGUAGGUGGAUUGUUAAGUCAGUUGUGAAAGUUUGCGGCUCAACCGUAAAAUUGCAGUUGAAAAUGGCAGUCUUGAGUACAGUAGAGGUGGGCGGAAUUCGUGGUGUAGCGGUGAAAUGCUUAGAUAUCACGAAGAACUCCGAUUGCGAAGGCAGUUCACUGGACUGCAACUGACACUGAGGCUCGAAAGUGUGGGUAUCAAACAGGAUUAGAUACCCGGGUAGUC